GAUGAACGCUGGCGGCGUGCCUAAUACAUGCAAGUCGAGCGAACGGACGAGAAGCUUGCUUCUCUGAUGUUAGCGGCGGACGGGUGAGUAACACGUGGAUAACCUACCUAUAAGACUGGGAUAACUUCGGGAAACCGGAGCUAAUACCGGAUAAUAUUUUGAACCGCAUGGUUCAAUAGUGAAAGACGGUUUUGCUGUCACUUAUAGAUGGAUCCGCGCUGCAUUAGCUGGUUGGUAAGGUAACGGCUUACCAAGGCAACGAUGCAUAGCCGACCUGAGAGGGUGAUCGGCCACACUGGAACUGAGACACGGUCCAGACUCCUACGGGAGGCAGCAGUAGGGAAUCUUCCGCAAUGGGCGAAAGCCUGACGGAGCAACGCCGCGUGAGUGAUGAAGGUCUUCGGAUCGUAAAACUCUGUUAUUAGGGAAGAACAUAUGUGUAAGUAACUGUGCACAUCUUGACGGUACCUAAUCAGAAAGCCACGGCUAACUACGUG
This 497-nucleotide ribosomal RNA is filed under the name uncultured bacterium. RNAcentral describes it as "partial 16S ribosomal RNA". It matches the Rfam family "Bacterial small subunit ribosomal RNA", at positions 28 to 507 of the family's 1533-position model. The record is from RNAcentral.